This 575-nucleotide ribosomal RNA is filed under the name Lacticaseibacillus rhamnosus. RNAcentral's name for it is "bacterial SSU rRNA". It matches the Rfam family "Bacterial small subunit ribosomal RNA", at positions 402 to 969 of the family's 1533-position model. The record is from RNAcentral. Lineage: Bacteria; Bacillati; Bacillota; Bacilli; Lactobacillales; Lactobacillaceae.
UGAGUGAAGAAGGCUUUCGGGUCGUAAAACUCUGUUGUUGGAGAAGAAUGGUCGGCAGAGUAACUGUUGUCGGCGUGACGGUAUCCAACCAGAAAGCCACGGCUAACUACGUGCCAGCAGCCGCGGUAAUACGUAGGUGGCAAGCGUUAUCCGGAUUUAUUGGGCGUAAAGCGAGCGCAGGCGGUUUUUUAAGUCUGAUGUGAAAGCCCUCGGCUUAACCGAGGAAGUGCAUCGGAAACUGGGAAACUUGAGUGCAGAAGAGGACAGUGGAACUCCAUGUGUAGCGGUGAAAUGCGUAGAUAUAUGGAAGAACACCAGUGGCGAAGGCGGCUGUCUGGUCUGUAACUGACGCUGAGGCUCGAAAGCAUGGGUAGCGAACAGGAUUAGAUACCCUGGUAGUCCAUGCCGUAAACGAUGAAUGCUAGGUGUUGGAGGGUUUCCGCCCUUCAGUGCCGCAGCUAACGCAUUAAGCAUUCCGCCUGGGGAGUACGACCGCAAGGUUGAAACUCAAAGGAAUUGACGGGGGCCCGCACAAGCGGUGGAGCUGUGGUUUAAUUCGAAGCAACGCGAAGAAC